Molecule: ribosomal RNA, 801 nt
Filed under: uncultured bacterium
Lineage: Bacteria
Description: bacterial SSU rRNA
Rfam family: Bacterial small subunit ribosomal RNA
Source: RNAcentral
GUAUAGAACCUACCUUUUACUGGAGAAUAGCCCAGAGAAAUUUGGAUUAAUGCUCCAUGGUAUCAUUUUUUGGCAUCCUUAAAUGAUUAAAGAUUUAUCAGUAGAAGAUGGCUAUGCGUUCUAUUAGCUAGUUGGUAUGGUAACGGCAUACCAAGGCGACGAUAGAUAGGGGUCCUGAGAGGGAGAUCCCCCACACUGGUACUGAGACACGGACCAGACUCCUACGGGAGGCAGCAGUGAGGAAUAUUGGACAAUGGAGGCAACUCUGAUCCAGCCAUGCCGCGUGUAGGAAGACUGCCCUAUGGGUUGUAAACUACUUUUAUAGAGGAAGAAACCGCUCUACGUGUAGAGCUCUGACGGUACUCUACGAAUAAGGAUCGGCUAACUCCGUGCCAGCAGCCGCGGUAAUGCGAGGAUCCAAGCGUUAUCCGGAAUCAUUGGGUUUAAAGGGUCCGUAGCGGGUUUGUAAGUCAGUGGUGAAAGUUUUCGGCUCAACCGGAAAAUUGCCAUUGAUACUGCAAGUCUUGAAUCGUUGUGAAGUGGUUAGAAUGUGUAGUGUAGCGGUGAAAUGCAUAGAUAUUACACAGAAUACCGAUUGCGAAGCAGAUCACUAACAAUGUAUUGACGCUAAGGGACGAAAGCGUGGGUAGCGAACAGGAUUAGAUACCCUGGUAGUCCACGCCGUAAACGAUGGUUACUAGCUGUUCGGAUUUCGGUCUGAGUGGCUAAGCGAAAGUGAUAAGUAACCCACCUGGGGAGUACGUUCGCAAGAAUGAAACUCAAAGGAAUUGACGGGGGCCC